Molecule: non-coding RNA, 242 nt
Organism: Cinara cedri
Lineage: Eukaryota; Metazoa; Arthropoda; Insecta; Hemiptera; Aphididae
Source: the annotation of a GenBank genome assembly
AGAUUUCUAGUAGAUAAAUUUCUUACAAACACACAAAAUAAAAAUAUCUUAAUAAAACUAAUGAAUCCUUUGCUACACUGAAAAUCUAAAAGAAACAACUAAAUUUGACAUUUACAGCAUAUUAUGCCAUUUUUGUUUGCCAGGUUGAGGUAAAUAUUUUGUUGAUUAUCUAGGUCCAACUAUUUUCAGCUCAUUGUCUUAGGACAUUAAAAAAUACAAUUUCAAUAAUUUAAGUAGAAAAU